This 3612-nucleotide long non-coding RNA is filed under the name Equus caballus (horse). RNAcentral describes it as "lncRNA (ENSECAG00000044150.1)". The record is from RNAcentral. Lineage: Eukaryota; Metazoa; Chordata; Mammalia; Perissodactyla; Equidae.
GGAUGGGCAUGGAUGUUAGCUCAGGGCCAGUCUUCCUCAGCAAAAAGAGGAGGAUUGGCAGCAGAUGUUAGCUUAGGACUAAUCUUCCUCAAAAAAAAAAAAAAAAUUUAUUUGGUGAGACAACAAAUGUUAGUAAUAAAGUAAUGUUUGGGCAGCUAUUUUCAAUAGAAAAACAAGGUUCCCUGGGAAAUGUAAAAUUAGAGACAGUUAUCACACUUUGCAUGGGCACAGAAUACUUAACAUCAGGCCAUCUUCGAACUGGUAGGAUAACGUGUGGUCACUGGCCUCAUCUUUCUACUGGUGGUUGGUCGUGUCUCAUCCGUUCUUUCCUCCAGCUCCAAUUCAUUGACUCAGGUGACUCAUUGAUAAAAUUAUUCAGCCGGGAAAUAUUAUUUGAGAACUAACACGCUACUAAGAGCUAUCGAUACAGUGGUAAGGAAUGCACACUGUCCUUGUGGAGGUUAUGGCACAGUGCAGGAGACAGAUAACGGUCAGGGAACCACACAAACCAUCAUAACUGUGGCAAUCGCUUGGAAGGAGAGAGAUGUAAUGCCACAGGAAUCUACAAUUUCUGUGUUUGAUUUAGUCAAAGAAGUCAGGAAAGACUUCUGGCAGUGGCCAAAAGAUGCAGAGGGGAGACAAGAACAUUCUAGACACAGGAAACAGCUUGUGCAAAGGCCCUGAGGCAAGAGGGAGGAUGGCAGUAUGAGUAAAUAAAAGAAGGCCAGGGGUGGCUGAAUUGCAGAGUUAGGGGCUUGUAGAAGAAGCAGCAGCUGGAGAGGCUGAUAGGAGCUGAAAACCACGUGAGACUUGAAGGCCAGGUUAAGGAGUUUGCAAUGCUUUCAAAGAGCAGUAGGAAGCUAACUAGGAUUGUAAACAGGUGUGUCUUGAUCAGAUCUGUAUUUUGGGGGGAAAAAAAAUCACUCUCAUUGUGUUUGGAUUGGAGAUGGGCCAGGUUGAUGUAUUAGUUUUGUAUUUCUGCUGAAGCAAGUUACCGCAAUGAAGCAGUUUAACACAAUAUUGGAGUUUUUGUAGGUCAGCGGCCUGGGCACAGCUGGGUUCUCCUUUAGGAUCUCCCGGGGUAGAAAUACAGGCAUCAGCUGGGCUGAGGGCCUCCUCUCAAGUUCGGGGGUUGUUGGCAGAAUUCAUUUCCUCCUCCAGCUGUCCACGCAGCCCCUCCCAUCUUCAGGUCAGUAAUGCCACCAGGUCGAGUCCUUCUCACGCUUCCAGUGUCUCCAUCUUCUGUGCUGCCUCUGUCCUGCUUCCUCUUCUGCCCUCAGCCCACAGACAGUUCUGCUGCUGAGGGCUCCUGCGGUUACACUGGGUGCACCCGGACCAUCCAGGACACUCUCCCCGUUUUAAAGUCAAACUUAUGAAUAACCUUCAUUACAUCCACAAAGGCCUUUAUGCCAUGUAAGGUCUCCUAAGAAUGCUCUUUCAUGAAGUUUUACACAGAAGACAUUCCAAAAGUGUGCACCAGCCCUACCCCAAAUGUAAAAUAGACCCCCUGAGAACAGGAACUUUUCAGUUGUGUUCACAGCUAUAUCCUAGUGCCCGGGACAGAGGUUGACAUGGAGUAGUUGCUAAAUACGUAUUUGUUGAAUGAAUGAAAGGAGUGCCAGCUGGGUGCGAGAUUCUGUAUCAGAUGCUGGAGAUGUGGUGAUCAUGAUAAGGUCCUAUUAAGAUGACACAAUAUCCUGGGAAUGAUAAUGACUGCUUUAAAUAGGGAAGUCAGAGAAGGCUCUUGAGGAGGAGACACCAGCUGCAGAGGCUGCAGUGAGGGCAUUUCAACAGAGCAUGUGCAAAAGUCCUGAGAUCUGCUGGUUCUACUUUUUCUAUUGUCGCAAAUGCUCAGAGUAUUCUCGUGGUCCCUCUGUCCCACAGCACACAAGGACACCUCACUUCAUCGUGUCCAGAGGCAGCAUAUCAUCUCUGGGAAGCCAGAGUCGCCCGUGCAUGCUCCAUCUCCUCUCUCUCUGUGACUUCUGCCUCUCUUUCUGUCACGCUGUGCAGCUUAUCUUCCCACCCCAGCUACACUGCCAGCAACCCCUUCUCCCUCCUGAGGGAGGCACAGUGAAGUGCUCUGUGGACUACAACCUGGGAGGAGCCUCAAACAGCGGAGGAAGUUUCUGUGGCCCAGGAGGCUGGGUCAGGAAAUGGGUGGCUGUAACUGUAGGGAUGGGCACAGUUCACUGACGAGCCUGAGACUCAGUUCAACAAGCUGGCACUGAGCUCCUGCUGUGGGGGUUCUGGGCCACUCGCUUGCAUCUUCCUAACACACGUCUGGGUGUUUGAGAAUGUGAGCUCUGAAUGUGGAUGCAAAUGCAUGGCUAUCUACGUCCAAAAGAAGAAUGGAGUAGAGAAUCAUGCUCUCAAAGGCAAACUGAGACAAACUUCGCAAAUUGCAAUUAAAGACGAACUGAGAUGUUACCAAGUUGCUACUUAGAAACUAUACAAAAUAUGCAAAUAUAUUUUCUUUAUAGAAUUAAGCUACCCAAGAACCAGACUCAAAAACAUUAAUUGAGCACCUAUUAUAUGCCAAGUCCUCUGCUUGGAAAACGGAUUUAAUUCUUACAGUGGUCCUUUGCAGUAUGUCUAAUUUUCCCCAUUUUACGGGUAACGGGCAAGAGAGCAGCCUGAUGCACUGGUCACGUCCUACAGACCGGCAGAGCAGGGGCGGGCACGCAGGUCUUCUGACCAUGGAUCCUGGGUCAUCUCCUGAGACACCAACCACCUGCUCAGCAUCAUGACAGCACAUUGGGAGGCAGCCUGGGGAGAGUCGAGAGCAGCGAUGGCUACGCCCGAUUGAGUGUGAGUGAGAAUCUCAGCGUUACUCUUUCUAGCUGGGUGAGCUUGGGCCAGUAACUUGACUUUCAUAAGCCUCAGUCUUCUGAUCUCUACAAUUGGAAUAAUAAAACCCAUGUUGCAGGGUUGUUUAAGGACUGAAUGAGCUUCUUCCAACAAGCAUCCCUCAUCAUGCCUGGUACACGGCACUCAAUAGAUGGGAGUUACGUAUCCUGUCAAAGGAGAGAAGUUAGCCCUCAGGGUGCUCUUUUUAAGCUUGUUCACAUCCACCAGCUCCUUGUAUUCUCUAGCAAAUGGAGCUAGCUGGUGGAGGGCAGGGCUCCAACCUAACGCUGUCUCCAAGAUGGUGCUCCUCGCUCCCCAGCCCUCUCCACCCAGAGUGAGCAACCCAAUCAUCCUCAUUAAAGCAGGGGCUUCCCACUGCCCAGCCUCACGUCUGCAGCCGGGAGCAGAAGAGUCAGAGGGACAUGAGUGGCCAUCAGCAGUUAACAUUCAAUGUCUCAGGACAUAUCCACCACCCGAAGUCUCUUGUCACAUUCUCUCCCUGAGGUUUCCAACAACUGAAGAGACUCACAUUGGAAUCAAAAUGCUGCCUUUUUAACAUAAUGACUGCCCCCUUGUACCUUCAGAUGCCUGAGCGGGAUGAUUUACAUAAAUGCCCUGCGCACUGUGUCAGAACAUUUAGAUAUGAGCGUCUGAAUCGGGCUCUUAUUAAGAAGAAAUUCGUUCCUAAUGUAAUUUAAUUUUUUUGUAUACUUACCCCAUCAAAUACCCUGCCUAAUAAAUUAUGUAAAAAAAGUUAAAAAU